AGGGAGGUGGAAGGAUAAGACAGGGAAUUGAAUGAGUGAGUCAGAAAUGGCGAAAUUGUAGAGAUUUGGAACUAUAAUGGAGAAGCGAGAAGUCGGAGAACGAUUGCUUUCUUUUUUGGAGGAGAACUGUAUCGGAAGAUUAUUAUAAGCCCAAAUAAAUAGGACCGAUAUGAUUAUGUUAGACUGAAGCAAGACGUGGCGGUAUACUAUUUCCUGAUUGGAUGAUUUUAUUAGAUGACGUGGAUAGCUUAGAAUUUUAGCAUUAAGCCCUUUUAGUAUUUACUUGCUGGAUCUCUCUAUCAUUCGACCAAAAUCCAAUUCAAGUCUUUUACCUUAUUUAACGACAUGACCAUUGACAACAUUUUAC
RNAcentral lists this long non-coding RNA (367 nucleotides) under Brassica napus (rape). Its description in RNAcentral is "long non-coding RNA (BNAP_LNC023301)". The record is from RNAcentral. Lineage: Eukaryota; Viridiplantae; Streptophyta; Magnoliopsida; Brassicales; Brassicaceae.